This 497-nucleotide ribosomal RNA is filed under the name uncultured bacterium. Its description in RNAcentral is "partial 16S ribosomal RNA". It matches the Rfam family "Bacterial small subunit ribosomal RNA", at positions 28 to 507 of the family's 1533-position model. The record is from RNAcentral.
GAUGAACGCUGGCGGCGUGCCUAAUACAUGCAAGUCGAGCGAACAGACGAGGAGCUUGCUCCUCUGACGUUAGCGGCGGACGGGUGAGUAACACGUGGAUAACCUACCUAUAAGACUGGGAUAACUUCGGGAAACCGGAGCUAAUACCGGAUAACAUGUUGAACCGCAUGGUUCAACAGUGAAAGACGGUCUUGCUGUCACUUAUAGAUGGAUCCGCGCCGCAUUAGCUAGUUGGUAAGGUAACGGCUUACCAAGGCAACGAUGCGUAGCUGACCUGAGAGGGUGAUCGGCCACACUGGAACUGAGACACGGUCCAGACUCCUACGGGAGGCAGCAGUAGGGAAUCUUCCGCAAUGGGCGAAAGCCUGACGGAGCAACGCCGCGUGAGUGAAGAAGGUCUUCGGAUCGUAAAACUCUGUUAUUAGGGAAGAACAAAUGUGUAAGUAACUAUGCACGUCUUGACGGUACUUAAUCAGAAAGCCACGGCUAACUACGUG